Molecule: ribosomal RNA, 433 nt
Filed under: uncultured bacterium
Lineage: Bacteria
Description: partial 16S ribosomal RNA
Rfam family: Bacterial small subunit ribosomal RNA
Source: RNAcentral
AACGAACGCUGGCGGCAUGCCUAACACAUGCAAGUCGAACGAGACCUUCGGGUCUAGUUGCGCACGGGUGCGUAACGCGUGGGAACCUGCCCUUAGGUUCGGAAUAACUCCCCUAAAGGGGUGCUAAUACCGGAUAAUUUCUUCGGACCAAAGAUUUAUCGCCUUUGGAUGGGCCCGCGUUGGAUUAGCCAGUUGGUAGGGUAAAAGCCUACCAAGGCUACGAUCCAUAGCUGGUCUGAGAGGAUGAUCAGCCACACUGGGACUGAGACACGGCCCAGAAUCCUACGCGAGGCAGCAGUGGGGAAUAUUGGACUAUGGGCGAAAGCCUGAUGCAGCAAUGCCGCGUGAGUGAUGAAGGCCUUAGGGUAGUAAAGCUGUUUUACCCGGGAUGAUAAUGACGGUACCGGGAGAAUAAGCACCGGCUAACUCCGUG